RNAcentral lists this ribosomal RNA (695 nucleotides) under Methylorubrum rhodinum. RNAcentral's name for it is "bacterial SSU rRNA". It matches the Rfam family "Bacterial small subunit ribosomal RNA", at positions 64 to 802 of the family's 1533-position model. The record is from RNAcentral. Lineage: Bacteria; Pseudomonadati; Pseudomonadota; Alphaproteobacteria; Hyphomicrobiales; Methylobacteriaceae.
GAGCGGGCACCUUCGGUGUCAGCGGCAAGACGGGUGAGUAACACGUGGGAACGUGCCCUUCGGGUUCGGAAUAACUCAGGGAAACUUUGAGCUAAUACCGGAUACGCCCUUAUGGGGAAAGGUUUACCCGCCGAAGGAUCGGCCCGCGUCUGAUUAGCUUGUUGGUGGGGUAACGGCCUACCAAGGCGACGAUCAGUAGCUGGUCUGAGAGGAUGAUCAGCCACACUGGGACUGAGACACGGCCCAGACUCUACGGGAGGCAGCAGUGGGGAAUAUUGGACAAUGGGCGCAAGCCUGAUCCAUGCCAUGCCGCGUGAGUGAUGAAGGCCUUAGGGUUGUAAAGCUCUUUUGUCCGGGACGAUAAUGACGGUACCGGAAGAAUAAGCCCCGGCUAACUUCGUGCCAGCAGCCGCGGUAAUACGAAGGGGGCUAGCGUUGCUCGGAAUCACUGGGCGUAAAGGGCGCGUAGGCGGCUUUUUAAGUCGGGGGUGAAAGCCUGUGGCUCAACCACAGAAUUGCCUUCGAUACUGGAAAGCUUGAGACCGGAAGAGGACAGCGGAACUGCGAGUGUAGAGGUGAAAUUCGUAGAUAUUCGCAAGAACACCAGUGGCGAAGGCGGCUGUCUGGUCCGGUUCUGACGCUGAGGCGCGAAAGCGUGGGGAGCAAACAGGAUUAGAUCCCUGGUAGUCCCGCCU